UAUAAGAGGUCCAGCCUGCCCAGUGACUCUGUUUAACGGCCGCGGUAUCCUAACCGUGCGAAGGUAGCGUAAUCACUUGUUCUUUAAAUGUGGACUAGUAUGAAUGGCAUCACGAAGGUUAUACUGUCUCCUUUUUCUAAUCAGUGAAACUAAUCUUCCCGUGAAGAAGCGGGAAUAAAACUAUAAGACGAGAAGACCCUAUGGAGCUUCAAACAAUAUAGCAUUUGUCAUACAAUAAAUAAUUUCUGAACACUAACUUACCAGACAAUAUGACUUUAAGGUUUUUGGUUGGGGUGACCAUGGAACACAAUAUAACCUCCAUGUUGAAAGAAACCUUUUUCUAAGCUAAGAACUACACGUCUAAGCAUUAAUACAUUGACAUCUAUUGACCCAAUAUACUUGAACAACGAACCAAGUUACCCUAGGGAUAACAGCGCAAUCCACUUCAAGAGCUCCUAUCGACAAGUGGGUUUACGACCUCGAUGUUGGAUCAGGGUAUCCCAGUGGUGCAGCCGCUACUA
Molecule: ribosomal RNA, 521 nt
Filed under: Sigalegalephrynus mandailinguensis
Lineage: Eukaryota; Metazoa; Chordata; Amphibia; Anura; Bufonidae
Description: partial 16S ribosomal RNA
Rfam family: Bacterial large subunit ribosomal RNA
Source: RNAcentral